UUACUCUUGUUUCUCUUCAGAUUGCAUAAAUCUUUCACUUUUUACUAAUGAUUUCUGUGGAGAGGAACAACAAGUGUCUGUCUCAAUUUUUUGACGCUCUGUGAAAGCAGAGCU
Molecule: small nuclear RNA, 114 nt
Organism: Syngnathoides biaculeatus (alligator pipefish)
Lineage: Eukaryota; Metazoa; Chordata; Actinopteri; Syngnathiformes; Syngnathidae
Product: U5 spliceosomal RNA
Exons: 1
Source: RefSeq, a predicted model, not a curated record